RNAcentral lists this ribosomal RNA (253 nucleotides) under uncultured bacterium. Its description in RNAcentral is "partial 16S ribosomal RNA". It matches the Rfam family "Bacterial small subunit ribosomal RNA", at positions 524 to 776 of the family's 1533-position model. The record is from RNAcentral.
UACAGAGGGUGCAAGCGUUGUUCGGAAUUAUUGGGCGUAAAGCGCGUGUAGGCGGCUUUGCAAGUCGGGUGUGAAAGCCCUCAGCUUAACUGAGGAAGUGCGCCCGAAACUGCAGAGCUUGAGUACCGGAGAGGAUGGUGGAAUUCCAGAAGUAGAGGUGAAAUUCGUAGAUAUCUGGAGGAACACCGGUGGCGAAGGCGACCAUCUGGACGGAUACUGACGCUGAGACGCGAAAGCGUGGGUAGCAAACAGG